GAUGAACGCUGGCGGCGUGCCUAAUACAUGCAAGUCGAGCGAACAGAUGAGGAGCUUGCUCCUCUGACGUUAGCGGCGGACGGGUGAGUAACACGUGGAUAACCUACCUAUAAGACUGGGAUAACUUCGGGAAACCGGAGCUAAUACCGGAUAAUAUAUUGAACCGCAUGGUUCAAUAGUGAAAGACGGUUUUGCUGUCACUUAUAGAUGGAUCCGCGCCGCAUUAGCUAGUUGGUAAGGUAACGGCUUACCAAGGCAACGAUGCGUAGCCGACCUGAGGGGGUGAUCGGCCACACGGGAACUGAGACACGGUCCAGACUCCUACGGGAGGCAGCAGUAGGGAAUCUUCCGCAAUGGGCGAAAGCCUGACGGAGCAACGCCGCGUGAGUGAUGAAGGUCUUCGGAUCGUAAAACUCUGUUAUUAGGGAAGAACAAAUGUGUAAGUAACUAUGCACGUCUUGACGGUACCUAAUCAGAAAGCCACGGCUAACUACGUG
Molecule: ribosomal RNA, 497 nt
Filed under: uncultured bacterium
Lineage: Bacteria
Description: partial 16S ribosomal RNA
Rfam family: Bacterial small subunit ribosomal RNA
Source: RNAcentral